Molecule: long non-coding RNA, 1170 nt
Filed under: Zea mays
Lineage: Eukaryota; Viridiplantae; Streptophyta; Magnoliopsida; Poales; Poaceae
Description: long non-coding RNA (ZMAY_LNC000268)
Source: RNAcentral
UCGCCGGUCGGUCGCCGGGACCUCACGACCGCCAUGGGCUCUCGCAUAGGGACCCUAGCGCCCUGUCACUUCUACCUCUGUGCCCCUAUCUACUCGUCCGACCACCGGUUUGCGCAGGAUCUUGGCGAGUCUUGCCAACAUUCAGAGUGGUACAUCGGAGCUCGUCGAGGUGUAUCGGUGCCAUGGCACUGAGAUCCCUCCGGGGUCUUGAGGUUUCGGCCGAACUGCUACAGGCUGGGGUUAGGGUCAUUGCCCGCUUGCCGGUGAGUGUCUCCCCAUCUACUUUUGUUCCGUUUGGGUACCUCGGCUGUGGGUCCAGGCUCAAGGUGCGCCUGACACCAUGGUGGGCGGUGGGCGCGUCGUGGCUGAUGUCACCAUGCCGGAUGGCGACGAGAGAUUGAAGAUAGGUUUAUAGCCGUCAAUCCCACAAUGAGCGGUCACGAUUAGAUCUAGAAAACAUUAAACCACGACCGUUCGAUGCUAGUUGAACGUUUGGAAAUGGAACUCGCAUACCCCUUCGCUUAAAAGAUCUGAGCCGUAGGAGCCCGAUCCAUCGAUCAGGAUUGUUUACUGAUUCUUAUAAAGCGUGGGCUAAUCCUGGCGGUCCGUUCUGAGUGAAGGAUACCCGUUCGGCUUGGAUUUUUGCAUAAGAGACCUCUGGUUUCCUUUAAAAUAACCCGUCAUCCCGUUCUGCUGUGCACCGAGUCUUAGGACUUUUUGCACCGAGCCCCUGCGUUUCUGUUUAAUAUACGCGCAGCCCAGAGAUCCUAGGAAUUGAAUAAAUAAUAUCAGGAAAUGGUUUUAAAAUGAGAAAAUAAAUACUAGAACUUAUAAAAUUCAUAGAAAAUUCAUAUGAAAUCCAAAAUUACCCAUUCCAGUUUCUAUAAUUUUGUAAUAUUAUUGUUUAUCAUUUAUUACCACUGUUUUGGCAUGAAAAUCACAAUAAAAUUUAUAUCAUAUUUAAUCUUGUACAAAACACAUAAAAUCUUCAGAAAUUCAUAACUUAAAAUCUAUAACUCCAAAAUUAAUGAUUCAUGUUCCUAGAAUCUUAUUUUAAUGUGUAGAUUAUUAUUAUAUAUUUUGUUCUUAUGUUUGGUGUGAUGUUAAUUUUGCCUAUACAUGUAUGUGUGUAUUGCUACGUUUAGCGGUGAGGACACGUGUCAUCUGAAG